GAUGAACGCUGGCGGCGUGCUUAAUACAUGCAAGUCGAGCGAACGGACGAUGAUCUUGUUUCUCUGAUGUUAGCGGCGGACGGGUGUGUAACACGUGUAUACCCCACCUAUAAUUCUGGUAUAACUUCGGGAAACCGGAGCUAAUACCGGAUAAUAUUUUGAACCGCAUGGUGCAUAAGUGAAAGACGGUCUUGCUGUCACUUAUAGAUGGAUCCCCGCUGCAUUAGCUGGUUGGUAGGGUAACGGCUUACGAAGGGAACCAUGCCUAAACGGCCUGAGAGAGGGGUAGGCCACCCUGGAACUGAGACAGGGUCCAGACUACUAAGAGAGGCAGCAGUCGGGAACGUUCGGCAGUGGGAGAAAGUAUGGCGGAGUAGAGGCGCGUGAGUGGUGGAAGUGUUGGGAGCGUAAAAAUGUGUUACUAGGGAAGAACAUAUGUGUAAGUAACUGUGGCGAUCUUGACGGUAACUAAUAAGAAAGCCCCGGCUAACUACGUG
This 497-nucleotide ribosomal RNA is filed under the name uncultured bacterium. RNAcentral describes it as "partial 16S ribosomal RNA". It matches the Rfam family "Bacterial small subunit ribosomal RNA", at positions 28 to 507 of the family's 1533-position model. The record is from RNAcentral.